AGUACAUGGACAACUCAUCCUAGUAAUAUGUCCUGUAGACACCCAGAGUCCGGAACUGCAGAGGACCCCAGAUCUACUCAGCCAGCAGGACGUUAACCAUAACUCCUGGGACCCUCCAGAGCCCAGGGCCAGGGCCUCAAGAAUUUUACCCACGAAAGUGUUAUCGGGAAUCUACAUGUAAUCCAGCUUGACGGGAUGGUCCUAGGUCCCAGCAUCUCCCAGUAGACUGAUCCCACCUGCAAGUGGCCAGGGACAGACCUUGCAGGUCAGGUAGGAGUGGGUCUACUGUUUCUGCUUCCCAGGCAGACCUGUGUGGAGCAAGACUGUUUAUAGACAACACCUUGCUGUAGCCAGAGGUGGUGGCUUAACAGCAGCAGGAACGCCCUCCCUCAUUGCUUCACAAGCUGCAAGUUUCUAAGAUGCGCCCUUGGCCUCAGCGGGCAGAUAAGCACCUGCAAUGGAGAGGGAACCCUUGAUCAAGGGCUGAUAAGCUCAGGAAGGGAGAAAAAAAAACCACCCCAAUAACAACAAGAAAAAGCUGAGC
RNAcentral lists this long non-coding RNA (544 nucleotides) under Mus pahari (shrew mouse). RNAcentral describes it as "lncRNA (MGP_PahariEiJ_G0006356.1)". The record is from RNAcentral. Lineage: Eukaryota; Metazoa; Chordata; Mammalia; Rodentia; Muridae.